AAUAAGCUUGGCUCUGACUUGCUUAUAUAGCUUAUAUAAAAAGAUACACAUGGUUUUGAUUGAAUGUGGUGAGGAUAAAAAUAGGAAAUGUAGGGUAAAUGAAAAAUUUACACUUUAUUUUUAUUUUUAGUAUUAUAAUUAUAGAUAAUGCUUUGAAAAGUCCCACUAACACCAGUGCUGGAGAUUAAUUAAUAAGUGAAAGCUUGAAUUAAUUAAAUAUAAAUAAUCUGGUUAAUUUGGUGCCAGCAUCCGCGGUUAGACCAAAAGAUUAAGUUAUAUAAAUAGGUAAAAAGAUAGUUAAGUAAAAGGAAAAGUUUAAUGAUUUUUUAUAGAAAGGUAAAAUUUGGAUAUAAAAAGCUAAUCUUUUUUAGGCUAUAAUACUGAAGCUAUGAUAAUUUUGAGGGAAACUGGGAUUAGAUACCCCAUUAUUCAUAAAUUGUAAAUAAAUGAAAAUUUACCAGAGUACUAUGAAUAUAUAAAAAUUUAAAACUCAAAGGGCUUGGCGGUGUUUUAGACCAAUUAGGGGAACCUGUCUCGUAAUCGACAGUCCACGAUAUACCUAACCUUUUUUGGUAAACAGUUUGUAUACCGUCGUCGUCAGGUAACUUUUAAAAAUAAAGAAGUUGGCAGAAAUAAUAGUUGUUGAUUAAGACGUCAGAUCAAGGUGCAGCCUAUAAAAAGGAGAGGAUGGGUUACAAUUAUAAAAUAAUAAUUACGGAUAGUUUAAUGAAAAAAGCUUAAAGGAGGACUUAAAAGUAAUGCUAUAAUAUAUAAAUAAUUUGAAUUAGGCUCUGAAACGUGCACACAUCGCCCGUCGCUCUCGUUGAAAAAUGAGAUAAGUCGUAACAUAGCAGGGGUAAUGGAAAUUGUCCCUAGAUGAAA
Molecule: non-coding RNA, 882 nt
Filed under: Mitrella albuginosa
Lineage: Eukaryota; Metazoa; Mollusca; Gastropoda; Neogastropoda; Columbellidae
Description: 12S ribosomal RNA
Rfam family: Microsporidia small subunit ribosomal RNA (bases 461-875)
Source: RNAcentral